CUUGAUGCGAAGCGACGCAAGUCGCAAAAAAAGCAUUAAGGCAAAUACACCGAGUAAUAGGUAGAGAAAUCUACCGUCAGUGAAUUUGCGAGUUUGUUGGAUUGAACUGAAGAGUUUGAUCCUGGCUCAGAUUGAACGCUGGCGGCAUGCCUUACACAUGCAAGUCGAACGGCAGCACGGACUUCGGUCUGGUGGCGAGUGGCGAACGGGUGAGUAAUGUAUCGGAACGUACCUUUCAGUGGGGGAUAACGUAGCGAAAGUUACGCUAAUACCGCAUAUUCUGUGAGCAGGAAAGCAGGGGAUCGCAAGACCUUGCGCUGAUUGAGCGGCCGAUAUCAGAUUAGCUAGUUGGUGGGGUAACGGCCUACCAAGGCAACGAUCUGUAGCGGGUCUGAGAGGAUGAUCCGCCACACUGGAACUGAGACACGGUCCAGACUCCUAC
This 442-nucleotide ribosomal RNA is filed under the name uncultured bacterium. RNAcentral describes it as "bacterial SSU rRNA". The stretch from base 104 to 442 matches the Rfam family "Bacterial small subunit ribosomal RNA", at positions 1 to 342 of the family's 1533-position model. The record is from RNAcentral.